The sequence is a ribosomal RNA, 127 nucleotides long. It matches the Rfam family "Bacterial large subunit ribosomal RNA", at positions 2801 to 2925 of the family's 2925-position model.
AAGAUGAGAUUUCCCAGUAUGUAAGACCCCUUGAAGACGACGAGGUAGAUAGGUUGGAGGUGGAAGCACGGCAACGUGUGGAGCUGACCAAUACUAAUCGGUCGAGGGCUUAUCCAAAUAUACCCCA